GGCCCUGUGAUGGAGUCAAUCAGCCGGCACAGUCUCUUGUCCCUUGGGCAUACUUGUAUGGAGUACAUCAUUAGCUGAAGAAGGGGAGGCUUUCCUCUGUAAUGUUAAUGCUGUGUAUUAGCUCUCUUGUCCCUGUGCUACUAUUACAGAGCCAUUGCAGCUCCAUUGGGGACAGGGAAGGAGAGCAAGUACAUAACUUCAUCUGGUGUCAUGAUUAUUUUUAGUGUUUUAUUUAGCUGUACACCAGCAAACCUUAUAUAAGUUGCUGUUAUCUUCCAGACUCCUAAGCAGAACGGAACAAAGUGAAAAACUUAAAUUAAUAUUAAUCAGAGAUGUUGCUGUGUGGUAGGCAACAUUUGCACGUUUCAGCGUGUUUAAGUGGCAUUUUGAGCAAUAUUUUAUUUGUCCAAAUGUUGCAGUAUAAAAUAAAAGUGUAAGCCAAGGAAGAGAAAUGUUGCCAGCACACUUGUGUGCAUUGAAUGUUGUCUUGAGAGGCGAGACUGGCAAGCUAUUUGCCUGGAAGGACUUGUUAUACAUUAAUUAAGUUGGCAAGGUGCUAGCUAGCUGCAAGACUCAACUGGGCUGUUUUUUAAGAGUAACCACUGCCUUUUAAUUUUUUAUACUCAAAAUAUCUGUUUCAAGACAAUGAUUUUUUUUUUUUAAAAAAACCUACCUAAUUCAUUUAAGAGCAAGAGAGUAAAGGUCCUGAUUAUUUAGAAUCAGUUGACAGCUUCAUAAGUAAAUAGGUUAAAAAUUAUAUGAUAACCCCUUCAUUGCAUAAGAUGAUAGGUUUUUCUAUUAUCUAGCUUGCUGUAAUGGCUAUAGAUUAAGGAUUCAAAUUGACCUGGCAUGAAUGUAUUAAAUCAGGUUAUCUGCCAAAAUGGGUUAACUACCAUGUACCCACUACCAGAGUUUGAAAUUAGCCAGUUGCCAUACAUGUUUUGCUACUGGUCUGGUCCAGUUGCACAUGGAGGUUUCUGGGCACCAGGUUGGUGACCACAGUUCAAAAAUGUCUGCCUUACUCCAUAGUUAAUAGCAUUUCCAUUUCCUCUAUGUGGGUUUCUCCUUCCUGCAUACUGGGACAUGUGAAUUGUUGUAAGAGCAAGCUACAGUUAGCCAAUGUAGUUAAGAUCAUAGAAUUGUAGCUUUGAAAUUGGAGCUCCUGAGGGUCAUUUAGUCCAAGCCCUUGAAUUCCAUUGUGGCAACCUAGAACCAAGGAGCCAUUUGGUGCCUAGCAUAUACACCUGAGUUUCUAAUACUGCACACAACAAAAUUUCAGUAUACCUUCCAGGUGUGUGUAGACAGCAACAGAAUAAACCAGUUUGGUGAGUGGUAACAGCAAGGAAGUUUGGUGGAUAGGAAUUCAGUCAUUCACUUAAUGAGGAAACAGUUGCUUGAGAACAAAUGCUGCUUAGCCCGUAGCUGUUUGGUUGUGGAUGAACUUGCCAGACCAGGCUGAUGACAGCUUUGGCAUUUAUCCUGAGGAAAAGUUGGUUUCAGAUAAUACAUGCCAAGUUUUCCCUCUUUUUUUAAAUUUAGAACCUGGGUUUCUAAAAAGCAAAACAUUUAAAAAUACAUUAAUCUAAAGCAGCUGUUGUGAAUCUGCGACCUUCUGGUCACAGUUGGGACUACAGCACUCAUAAUCCCUGAUGACUGAACAUGCUGACUAGGGAUGUGGGGAGCUGGAACCCAACAUUUGGAGGGCCAUGGAGUCUCGCAUCCCAGAUAAAGAAUGAUUUUUACUGUUCUGAACUAUUUUUUGAAAUGCAACCCAAAUACCGAGGCAUUUUAAAACGUAGUAUUAAGUCACACAACAAAUAGUAAUCUUUAUGAUGGUUUUGCUUGCUGCUCUCUGAAGUGUGAAGGAGCUCACUUUUAAAUUUGCCUCACUGUUGCAUGGCCCACCCACCUGUAUUAUCCAUUUAAAGCAGUAUCAUAGCACUUUAAACAGUCAUGGCUUCCCACAAAGAAUCCUGGGAACCGCAGAGCAUGCAUGGAGGGUGCUGAGAGUUGUUAGGAGACACACACAGCAACUAUUUUCAGGGUUCCCUGGUAAAAUGGAAUGACCACCAAAUCAGUGUUAGAAAUUAGCCAGGCUCAUUUUGCUACUAGCGCAGGUCCAGUUGCGACCACGUGGAGAUCUCUGGAUGCUAGGUUGGCAACCAACAUCUCCAUCUGGCUGGCUUGCAUUUCUAUCCCACCUUUUUUCCAAAGAGUACAUGGAGUUCACCCCCCUCCUCAGUUAAUCCCUACAAGCGACCCUGUGAGAUAAGUUAAGAGGCUGCGACUGGCCCAAGGUCACCCAGUGGGCUUCAUGAAGGAGUGGUGGUUUGAACCGUGAUCUCCCAGGCCCUACCUAGUCCGACACUCUAACCACUACACCACACUGGCUUCUUAGAGUACUACUUCUGCGAAGCAGCUGUAUAAAUUAAGUAGGUAAAUAAAUGGGGGGAAAGCAAAAUAUCACUUAGAGAAGGAUCUGAAAUAUUUUCCUUGCAGCUUGAAUUUGCUUUAUUCUGGAUUGUUUUAUUUGAUGUUUUAAUGUGUUGUAUACCACUUUGAGAUUUCUUCCUUUAAACUAUAAAACAGUAUAGAAAGGAAAUUAAUAAUAAUAAUACAGUCGUACCUUGGAUCCCGAGCACCUUGCAAGUCGAACGUUUUGGCUCCUGAACGUUGCAAACCUGGAAGUGAGUGAUCCGGUUUGUGAACACUCUUUGGAACCCAAAUGUCCAACGGGGCUUCCGCUGCUUCUGACUGGCUGCAGGAGCUUCCCACAGCCAAUUGGAAGCUGCACCUUGGUUUCGGAACGUUUUGGAAGUCGAACGGACUUCUGGAACAGAUUCCAUUCAACUUCUGAAGUACCACUGUAGUAAUAAAUUCCAAUGCAAAAAGGCGCUUGAAUAUUUGAUUGUAGUGCUCGUAACCUAGGUUUAAGGUGGCAUUUGGUGAUUGGCUUAUGCAGUAUAUCUGAGUUUUUAACACUGCCUUAAACCUCCCUGGUUUAAUGUACCUCUGUGGCAGGAACAUGAGUCUCCUGUUGAAACUGUACCCAGACAAAAUGGAGGGGCUGCAGUUGUGUGGUUAUUGCAGGUGGGAUUUGGGAAGUCAUCCUAUUCCAGAAGAGGUUGCACUACACUUGUAGAAGCAGGUUCAUAACUUCAGAAUACUUCUGGAGUCACUCAGUAGAACCCCGUGUCUUCAGUUUAUGGGAGAGCUUAUUCCCAACACUGGCUAGUUCACCAUCGGCGGGGGCGGGGGGGAGCCAUUUUGGCUCCUUGGGGUAGAUUGCCUUUUGAGUACAGUCUGGAGGCUGCAAUUAGUUCAAAUUGUGGCUAGGGUGCUUAUAUAUACUGCUUAUAUCCAUCUGAAAGAAUUGCACAGGUUACCUAUUACCCUCCAGCCUCAAUUCAAGGUGCUUAUAGUGAUAGAUAAAGCCCUUAGGCUCCAAAUAUCUGAAAGAAUGCUUCUUCCUGAACAACUUGCCCAUGCACUAAGAUCUGCCGAAGGGACCCUUUUUGUGGUUGUCCCACUGUAAUGGGGGGGGGGGUGUCUGUGAGAGGGUCUUCUCUGCUAUGGCACCAGGCCUGACCUCCCUUCAGAUGCGUGACAUGCUUUAUCCUUAAAGUGGUUAAGUACUCAGGUUAAGUACUUAAUUCAUUCCGGAGGUCCGUACUUAACCUGAAACUGUUCUUAACCUGAAGCACCACUUUAGCUAAUGGGGCUUCCUGCUGCCACCGCAUCCUGAAGCAAAGUUCUUAACCUGAAGCACUAUUUCUGGGUUAGCGGAGUCUGUAACCUGAAGCGUAUGUAACCUGAGAUACCACUGUACUUUCAUUUCAAAAUAUGAGACACUUGUGUUGUGUCCUGCUACCAAGUUAACUUCAUUGACAGCAAAUAUGUGUAUUCAUAUGCUCUUAGUUUUGAAUAUUGUUAAACAGUUGUUUUGAAUAUUUUGGUAUUUCCUUCCCUGGGAACUCUGAGGGAAAAUGGUUUAUAAAUAUCAUUUUUUAAAAAAAUAUGAGUGACUGAUAAUCCCAUUUUUAUAUGUAGGAAGUGGGACUUGAGACAGUGACUUGUUCAGAGCUAUGCAGUGAGUCCUUUGAAGAGGUGGGACCUGAAUAUCUCUCUCUCACUUUAUUUUGUGCUACUUUCAUAAUUAGUGUAUGAUGCUUUUAAUUUUUCUUGAAAAUACUAAGGUCCCAAACUAGGGCUAAUUAGCUUUUCCUUUUGGGAAAAGAUAAUUAAUGACUCUAGCUGUGAUAACCAGUUCUGCCUCCAUUGUUGUUAUCGAUAUACCUCCAGAAAUAAGUUGCUGGGAAUCACAAGUGGGGAAAGUGCUGUUGCACUCGGGUUCUGCUUGUGAAAUUAUUGUUAUCUUCAUUGUUUUCAUUUAAAUUCGUAUACUGCCAUUCAUCUGAGGAUUGCAGGGUGAGUUACCAAUAUAAAAACACAAAAAUACAUAACAUAGUAACAAACAGAAACACACACACCCCAGUUUAAAAGGCUAUUGGUUGUUUAAUUAGCCAAAGGCCUGGGAGAAGAGGAAUGUUUUUGCCUGGCGCCUAAAAGUAUGUAACAAAGGAGCUAGGUGAGCCUCCCUGGGGAGAGCAUUCCACAAUGGGAAGCCACCACAGAAAAGGCCCAUUCUCAUGUUGCUGUCUUCUGGGCCUCUUGCAGAGGAGGCACAUGAAGAAGGCUCUCAAAUUAUCAUUGCAGGGUCUGGGUCGUAUGGAAAGAGGAGGUCCUUGAAGUAAUUGGCAGCCGGUGCCAGAACUGGCAUUAUAUGUGCAAACCAUCUUGCACCGGUGAGCAACCUGGCCGCUGAAUUCUUCACCUGCUGAAGUUUCUUGAGAGGCAGCCCCACAUAUAUAGUACACAGCAGUAAUUUAACCUAGAGGUGGCCAGAGCUUAGGUGACAGUGAUAACUUAUCCCAUUCCCAUAGGCACUUGUUUGGCCACUGUGAGAACAGGAUGCUGGACUAGAUGGGCCUUUGGCCUGAUCCUGUAGGGUUCCUCUUGCGUUCUUAAUAUAAAGCAAGGGUGGUGAACCUCCAUUUUGGCCUGCCAGGAGGUGCAGUCUAGCCUGUGAUGAAAUUUUCCUAAACCCUGCUCACCUGUCCCAUCAGCUGUUGUCAGCACAAUGGAUAAGUGCUAUUAGCUGAUGGGUAGGGUUAAUUUUUUUCUUGGCUGUGCCCUCGCUAUGGGGAACUGGUACAUGCAUCCAAAGUAGCAGAAUUUAACUCAGCGGUUCAAUCCAGCUCAGUGCUGCUUUGUCAGUUACCAUUAUUACCCCCUUCCCCACACUUCAAAUUUCACAGGUGGGUGGGAUUCCCUGCACACCUAUCAGUGUCACAAUGUUAUGAUGCCCAAAGGUUGACAGGUGAGUGGCCCUGCCCGUGUAUCAGAGUAGGCCUGUGCAGAAGGGGGAGUGUCGUGCCAAUGCAAUGAUGCUUCCUUCAUUUCUGCAGCCAGCGGGAGGCUGCUUAGCCGGUGGAGUUGAGUGGAAGGAGACCUCUGCUCAAACAAACACCCCUCUCCAGUGCAGGGUUUUUUUUUUAAUUGCUCCGUUAGCUUUAUUAAUUUUUCAUUUUAUAAAAUGUAUAUUCAGUGCCAAUUGGCGUUCAUGGGGUAGCUAAAAAUAUAUACAAGGAGGUGGUAAGCGUAUCGCUUCAAGCAAUUAUUUAAAUAUUUAUUUUGGCACAAACCUUUAGCACAUCUGCAUUCAUUGUCUGUGGAAACUUCUUAAAAGUAUUAGGACAAUUGUUCUGUGAGAAACGAUGCAGUCAGCUGGUGUUGAUUUAUAUUAUAAUUGCUACUCAAGUCUAACAGUUGAGUGGUAGAGAAACUUACAGUGACAGAUUGUGGCAUAGCGUAGUUCAUUGGUCCCCUUCCCCCAGCAAAUGCUGGAGAAAAUCAUGCACAGAAUUACUGUUCUUCAUGUGGUUGGUUCUCCGAGUUGCAGCCAAGUCACUGUUGCAGUUGUGAUGCAUUCUGUAACCAUUAUGUCAGGAUAGGUGUAGGGUUGUCAGUUCUUGUCAAAAGCCUCUGUUCUUGUUACAUGAUAGGAAAACAUCAUGUCAUGUCAUAUAGUGUGAUGUGAAACAAUCGUGUCACAGUAUGACACCUUCUAUAGCUAAUCUAUUAUAGUACAAUAUCGGCUAAAGCUCUUGACAUCAAUUUCUUCAAAGGAGAUUUCUAAAUACUUCAAAGGAGAUUUCUAAAUAUUUUCUCAUGAGGUGCAAGCUCCACCCCCCCCCUCAAUACCCGUGAAACCCUCUUUUUUGUUUACUUUAGAGAGUGCAAGAGGGUUUCCUAUGUCACACUGCACUUUUUGUGCAGGCUUCCUGGCUCAUUCUGCUUUUCUCUCCUCCCACCCAUUCAAAGAGGGGAAUUUCAUAUUGAACUAGACUUUGAAGCAGGCAUGUUCUUGCUUCAAAGUUCAGAGUGACAGGACACACACACUACUAGGUAUGCACAAAGGACUAGGGGAAGAGGGGAAGGAAGGUCUUAACAGCAACCACAAAACUGUUAUUAGCUAGUAAGCCAAGCCAAAUUUUUGUGGACCACUCUGCAAAUAGUGGUAGAAAGUUAAACGUGUGCUAUUCACACAGAUAAGUUGGAUGUCUUAAGAAUCCUUUUCAAAAUAGCUCCCAAGUAUGUAUGCAGAUCUUUUACUGGAUAAUAUAAGGUCAUGAUACUUAUUACUAUAUAAUUUACAAUUCUAAAAAAUAAAAAUAAAAUUUAUGUUAAUUACAUGCUUUUUAGCUUUUGGGCUGGCUACAAAAAGAUAAUAAACAGUAUUGACCACUGCUAUCAUGCUUUGUAAGACUAAAUAUGGCAUUGCAUCUAAAAACAUUGCUUAAUGUGUCUGAUAGGGUUUUAAUAUCUACUUUAAUCAAUGAGACUAUGAUAAUUUUCAAAAUUGAAUUUGUUUUAUUAUAUUUCUGCAUUUUUAAAAAAAAUUUAUUGAUACAGC
This 6976-nucleotide long non-coding RNA is filed under the name Podarcis lilfordi (Lilford's wall lizard). The record is from RNAcentral. Lineage: Eukaryota; Metazoa; Chordata; Lepidosauria; Squamata; Lacertidae.